CCUACGGGUGGCAGCAGUGAGGAAUAUUGGUCAAUGGACGAGAGUCUGAACCAGCCAAGUAGCGUGAAGGAUGACUGCCCUAUGGGUUGUAAACUUCUUUUAUAAAGGAAUAAAACGAGGUACGUGUGCCUUUUUGCAUGUACCUUACGAAUAAGGAUCGGCUAACUCCGUGCCAGCAGCCGCGGUAAUACGGAGGAUCCGAGCGUUAUCCGGAUUUAUUGGGUUUAAAGGGUGCGUAGGUGGGCUGUUAAGUCAGUUGUGAAAGUUUGCGGCUCAACCGUGAAAUUGCAAUUGAUACUGGCAGGCUUGAGUGCAGUUGAGGUAGGCGGAAUGCAUGGUGUAGCGGUGAAAUGCUUAGAGAUCACAAAGAACCCCGAUUGCGAAGGCAGCUUACUAAGCUGUGACUGACAUUGAUGCUCGAAAGUGUGGGUAUCAAACAGGAUUAGAUACCCUAGUAGUC
This 460-nucleotide ribosomal RNA is filed under the name uncultured bacterium. RNAcentral's name for it is "partial 16S ribosomal RNA". It matches the Rfam family "Bacterial small subunit ribosomal RNA", at positions 338 to 795 of the family's 1533-position model. The record is from RNAcentral.